AUUGAACGCUGGCGGCAGGCCUAACACAUGCAAGUCGAACGCGAAAGCACUUCGGUGUGAGUAGAGUGGCGGACGGGUGAGUAACGCGUGGGAAUCUACCUAGUAGUGGAGGAUAACUCGAGGAAACUCGAGCUAAUACUGCAUACGCCCUACGGGGGAAAGCGGGGGAUCUUCGGACCUCGUGCUAUUGGAUGAGCCCGCGUUAGAUUAGCUUGUUGGUGAGGUAAUGGCUCACCAAGGCGACGAUCUAUAGCUGGUCUGAGAGGAUGAUCAGCCACAUUGGGACUGAGACACGGCCCAA
RNAcentral lists this ribosomal RNA (301 nucleotides) under uncultured bacterium. Its description in RNAcentral is "bacterial SSU rRNA". It matches the Rfam family "Bacterial small subunit ribosomal RNA", at positions 30 to 334 of the family's 1533-position model. The record is from RNAcentral.